GCUGGGCAUGGUGGCGGGUGCCUGUAAUUCCAGCUACUCGGGAGGCUGAGGCAGGAGAACCGCUUGAACCCAGGAGAUGGAAGUUGCAGUGAGCAGAGAUCAUGCCACUGCACUCCAGCCUGGGUGACAGAGCGAGACUCUGUCUCAA
This is a non-coding RNA of Gorilla gorilla gorilla (western lowland gorilla), 148 nucleotides long. It matches the Rfam family "Metazoan signal recognition particle RNA". From Rfam's summary of the family: The signal recognition particle (SRP) is a universally conserved ribonucleoprotein. It is involved in the co-translational targeting of proteins to membranes. The eukaryotic SRP consists of a 300-nucleotide 7S RNA and six proteins: SRPs 72, 68, 54, 19, 14, and 9. The record is from Rfam. NCBI's taxonomy places the organism in Eukaryota, Metazoa, Chordata, Mammalia, Primates, Hominidae.